CCCAGUUUGGGAACUGGCCGGGGAGAGUGAGAAAGAAAGAGUGCUGGGCAUGCAGAUCAUAUUUCACAUCACAUCAGAGCUGUGGAAUUUCCUCUCUUCUAGGGGGAGGCCUGUGAAGAGAGAAGUUGGUUUAAGAUGAGGAAUCCGACACAUGGAGAUGUGAAGCAGUCUGCCACUUAAUGAGCAGGAGCUGACGCUUGCCUCCGGAGCACGUCCCCUAUUAGGUGGGAGCUCUUUUUCUACAACCAUCAGCUUGCAACCUAGGACAAGUCCUUUGGCAGUGCUGGGGGCAUGUGAAGGGUGUGAGACCGGGCAGCAGGGAAGGCAGGGCCUUCCAUGCGUGCAAAGUCAAAGAGCAAAGCCAGAAGGAAGGGAGAGUUCAAGGGCUGCCCCACCCCUCCCAUCCCCGUGUAGUGCAACGCAGCAGGUCUCCAGCACCUUCUUACAACUUGAUUCACAGUUUCAGCGCCCCACCGUUUCCGCUUCCUUGAACUGCAUCUAGACACGACUCUGGUCCCCACCAGCUUCUGACCUCAUUACUCAUUCUGUUUACAGCGUGGCCUCACCCUUCAGGCUGCUCUGAUUUCCCAGAUAGGAAUUUGGCUGCCCUCAUUGACUAUGAUUCAGAUUUUCGCCCCAGCCACAUUGCACCAGCCCUCCUGUGUACACAGCCCCUCUGGUUAGACUGGUACCCUGACAUCACCCUGCUCCUCCGUCCCUCCCUGAAACCCCUGUCAUGGGUAAGGCAGGGCUCUGGGACUGUCUCCACUCCAGAGAGCGGAGGCAGGGUUAGGAAGCCCUGGAAUGAAAUGUGGGGGGAAAUCACUGACGGGUUUGGAGCUGAGGGUGUUAAGGUGAGGAGGAGGGCUUCUGAGGAAGGUGAGGAGGCCCUGCAGAACAGAGGGGAAGGCCGGAGGCAGGGGCGUCCGUGAACAGAUGAGGGACAGACGAGGAACGCCUGAGGUGACAUGCCCGGUGGAUACGGUAGACACAUGACC
This is a long non-coding RNA of Bubalus bubalis (water buffalo), 998 nucleotides long. RefSeq lists it as uncharacterized. The record is from RefSeq and is a predicted model, not a curated record. The transcript is spliced from 2 exons. NCBI's taxonomy places the organism in Eukaryota, Metazoa, Chordata, Mammalia, Artiodactyla, Bovidae.